This 989-nucleotide ribosomal RNA is filed under the name Microbacterium paraoxydans. Its description in RNAcentral is "bacterial SSU rRNA". It matches the Rfam family "Bacterial small subunit ribosomal RNA", at positions 55 to 1053 of the family's 1533-position model. Lineage: Bacteria; Bacillati; Actinomycetota; Actinomycetes; Micrococcales; Microbacteriaceae. The record is from RNAcentral.
AUGCAAGUCGAACGGUGAACACGGAGCUUGCUCUGUGGGAUCAGUGGCGAACGGGUGAGUAACACGUGAGCAACCUGCCCCUGACUCUGGGAUAAGCGCUGGAAACGGCGUCUAAUACUGGAUAUGUGACGUGACCGCAUGGUCUGCGUUUGGAAAGAUUUUUCGGUUGGGGAUGGGCUCGCGGCCUAUCAGCUUGUUGGUGAGGUAAUGGCUCACCAAGGCGUCGACGGGUAGCCGGCCUGAGAGGGUGACCGGCCACACUGGGACUGAGACACGGCCCAGACUCCUACGGGAGGCAGCAGUGGGGAAUAUUGCACAAUGGGCGAAAGCCUGAUGCAGCAACGCCGCGUGAGGGAUGACGGCCUUCGGGUUGUAAACCUCUUUUAGCAGGGAAGAAGCGAAAGUGACGGUACCUGCAGAAAAAGCGCCGGCUAACUACGUGCCAGCAGCCGCGGUAAUACGUAGGGCGCAAGCGUUAUCCGGAAUUAUUGGGCGUAAAGAGCUCGUAGGCGGUUUGUCGCGUCUGCUGUGAAAUCCCGAGGCUCAACCUCGGGCCUGCAGUGGGUACGGGCAGACUAGAGUGCGGUAGGGGAGAUUGGAAUUCCUGGUGUAGCGGUGGAAUGCGCAGAUAUCAGGAGGAACACCGAUGGCGAAGGCAGAUCUCUGGGCCGUAACUGACGCUGAGGAGCGAAAGGGUGGGGAGCAAACAGGCUUAGAUACCCUGGUAGUCCACCCCGUAAACGUUGGGAACUAGUUGUGGGGUCCAUUCCACGGAUUCCGUGACGCAGCUAACGCAUUAAGUUCCCCGCCUGGGGAGUACGGCCGCAAGGCUAAAACUCAAAGGAAUUGACGGGGACCCGCACAAGCGGCGGAGCAUGCGGAUUAAUUCGAUGCAACGCGAAGAACCUUACCAAGGCUUGACAUAUACGAGAACGGGCCAGAAAUGGUCAACUCUUUGGACACUCGUAAACAGGUGGUGCAUGGUUGUC